Molecule: long non-coding RNA, 783 nt
Organism: Betta splendens (Siamese fighting fish)
Lineage: Eukaryota; Metazoa; Chordata; Actinopteri; Anabantiformes; Osphronemidae
Exons: 3
Source: RefSeq, a predicted model, not a curated record
UCAGUCGGUGAGGUCUUAGAUUUCACAGGCUUAAUUCUUAUUCCUGACUACAAUAGCUGGUUUUGAACAUAUGACAUGUAAGUUUAGGAAAUAUCAAUAAGUUAAUUAAAAAAAUAAUAAUUUUGAUGUUUGGUUUGGAAACAUUGCUAGAAAAAUCCUCAACACUUUUAAUAAAACCUUAUCAUAUAAAGCAAAACAUGUCCCAAUUUGACAGUUCUGUAAUAUAAUUGAACCUUUACAUUAUUUUAAAAAGUAUUGGUUUGUUUUCUGCUGCUUCAAUAUUAUUGUGUCCAUAUGAGCCUGAAUGGCCGCACUGUUUCUAAGUGAGACUUUAUUGACGUUUUUACUAUAUUUGUCGCCCCAAUGUGGAAUCAGCAUUUUAUUUUGACAAUUUAAGCAAAUACGCGUUUUAUCGAAGGUAGCUGGGAAACAAACAGCGCGUUUGCGUGGGCGACCUUCAGCCGCGACAGUGACACGUUGCUUCCUUUCCAGAGACCUUGAACAGGUGUGGUGACACAUCAGGGACUCGUCUGAGCUGCGCUUGACGGAAGGUAAGCAGCAGAGCAUGGUCUUUGCCUCUGAGAGGGAGAGCAGCCCUGCGAUGCUGAUGUCAGAGUGGUUGAUGAUGACGACGCUGAGAUAGAUGCUGUGUGCGGUGCCUGAUACCUACAGGAUUGAGAUUUCCUGACCCGCAGCGUUGUAGUGGUUCUCUCCCUAAUGGGUAAAUCCCUCAUCAGCCUGGGAGUAAAGGCUCUCUCCAGAUGAGCUCCAUUAAGGUUCAAG